AGCACGUGGCGCCUGACUCCCCUUGUCCCCUCAGGCCGGCCAUGGAGGCGGGCAUCGGCACCGGCCGCUCCCGGCCGCCGGGACCCCGGGAGCGGGGCAGGAACUGCGCUGGGGCUGCUGAAACGGCUGCCCGCAGAAAGAUGUCUUGAUGUAAAGAAGCCUGGUCUUUCCACGUAAAUGUGACACAAUUAGGACUGGGAGCAGGUCGCUCUUUGGAGAUGGCCCUAAUGUGAAGCUCUUCACAAGUCCUGUGGAAGGCAAUGAGACAGCAAGAGCAGGAGAUCUUCUGGGUGUUUAUGCUGAAAAGAUCUUGUCUGAGGAAGAAGGAAUCCAAUAAAACGUGCGUGAGCUUGGGAACUAGUGUUUGUAAAGACUACAUAUUUUUCUGCCCUAAGAUGUUAAGAAAUGGUAACGGUUACACCAUUUUGAUUACACAUAUAUUAAAAUUCUCUCAAAAAAACCCAACUGGGUCUGGUUUUUGU
Gymnogyps californianus (California condor) is the source of this 482-nucleotide long non-coding RNA. RefSeq lists it as uncharacterized. The record is from RefSeq and is a predicted model, not a curated record. Lineage: Eukaryota; Metazoa; Chordata; Aves; Accipitriformes; Cathartidae. The transcript is spliced from 5 exons.